CUACGGGACGCUCCAGUGGGGAAUAUUGGGCAAUGGGCGAAAGCCUGACCCAGCAACGCCGCGUGAAGGAUGAAGGCCCUCGGGUUGUAAACUUCUUUGAUGAGGGAAGAUAAUGACGGUACCUCAAAAACAAGCCACGGCUAACUACGUGCCAGCAGCCGCGGUAAUACGUAGGUGGCAAGCGUUAUCCGGAUUUACUGGGUGUAAAGGGCGUGUAGGCGGGAUGGCAAGUCAGAUGUGAAAUUCCGAGGCUUAACCUCGGCGCUGCAUCUGAAACUGCUAUUCUUGAGUGUCGGAGAGGAAAGUGGAAUUCCUAGUGUAGCGGUGAAAUGCGUAGAGAUUAGGAGGAACACCAGUGGCGAAGGCGGCUUUCUGGACGAUAACUGACGCUGAGGCGCGAAAGCGUGGGGAGCAAACAGGAUUAGAUACCCCCGUAGUC
Molecule: ribosomal RNA, 439 nt
Filed under: uncultured bacterium
Lineage: Bacteria
Description: partial 16S ribosomal RNA
Rfam family: Bacterial small subunit ribosomal RNA
Source: RNAcentral